This 817-nucleotide long non-coding RNA is filed under the name Bos taurus (domestic cattle). RNAcentral's name for it is "long non-coding RNA NONBTAT023140". Lineage: Eukaryota; Metazoa; Chordata; Mammalia; Artiodactyla; Bovidae. The record is from RNAcentral.
GGUGACUGUGUGUUUCAUCAGCCUGUUUGUGGUGGGUUAAAAAAUCGCUGUGUAUUGUGAAAAUUUUAUGUACAUAAAGUAUUGAGGGCUACGGUAUACAAAACAAGUCACAGUGCUUAGCAGCUUUCUGUAGCUUAGGUUAUAAAAUGUAUUAUAUGGAACAUGAGAAUUUUAUUAAGAAAAAUUAUGUCCCCCCACUUUAAGACUCCAAACCAGCUUUCCUUAGCUGUAACCAUUACAAUAUUAGGGUCUUUUCCCUAAGAUUUUGGAAGGAGGAAGCUCUUCACCACCACCGUUGUUAGUGAAUUAUGUAGAAGAGCACUUUCAUAUGGCUUUCUUCAUCACAUACCCCUUUCCUCAUCACAUAUCCCCAUUUAAUGCACUAAACUGGCUGUUUAAAAAUGUGAUCAUGUUAAUAGAGAAUCCUUUCCAUUGAAUGAUGUUGAAUUUCAGAAAGGUAAAUUGUUGAUCAUGGAUACAACUUCAUUGGUGUAGAAGUAAAUGUUAUUGAUUCUCUAAGUAAAACAUUAGUUUUGACUUAGUAAACUUAAAAGUUUUAUAUAACUGGAUUUUUACUAUAUAGAGUUAUUCCUUAAAAAUAGAUAGGAGUUUUUAAUAAAUUUUUAUAGAUAAUUGGAUGUUUUUAUAGAUUAGUAAUACUGUGCUUUUUUUUUUUUGGUAAUAAUGUGUUUUAGAUGUGUGAAACUUUGAAUCUAAUUGUUUGUAGCAUAGGAUAAACCACUGCCUCUUAAUUCCUUUAGCAGUUUUAGUAGAUUAUAAUAGAUUAAAAUUUGUGCAGGAAAUCAGUGCUCCUUAA